UACGUAGGGAGCAAGCGUUGUCCGGAAUCAUUGGGCGUAAAGCGCGCGUAGGUGGCCUCAUAAGUCCGUUGUGAAAGUCAAAGGCUCAACCUUUGAAAGCCGAUGGAUACUGUGAGACUAGAGUACGGAAGAGGCGAGUGGAAUUCCUGGUGUAGCGGUGGAAUGCGCAGAGUAUCAGGAGGAACACCAAUAGCGAAGGCAGCUCGCUGGGACGUUACUGACACUGAGGCGCGAAAGCGUGGGGAGCGAACAGG
Molecule: ribosomal RNA, 254 nt
Filed under: uncultured bacterium
Lineage: Bacteria
Description: partial 16S ribosomal RNA
Rfam family: Bacterial small subunit ribosomal RNA
Source: RNAcentral